This 253-nucleotide ribosomal RNA is filed under the name uncultured bacterium. RNAcentral describes it as "partial 16S ribosomal RNA". It matches the Rfam family "Bacterial small subunit ribosomal RNA", at positions 524 to 776 of the family's 1533-position model. The record is from RNAcentral.
UACGUAGGUGGCAAGCGUUAUCCGGAAUUAUUGGGCGUAAAGCGCGCGCAGGUGGUUUCUUAAGUCUGAUGUGAAAGCCCACGGCUCAACCGUGGAGGGUCAUUGGAAACUGGGAGACUUGAGUGCAGAAGAGGAAAGUGGAAUUCCAUGUGUAGCGGUGAAAUGCGUAGAGAUAUGGAGGAACACCAGUGGCGAAGGCGACUCACUGGGGCUUUUCUGACGCUGAGGAACGAAAGCCAGGGGAGCGAACGGG